RNAcentral lists this ribosomal RNA (843 nucleotides) under uncultured bacterium. Its description in RNAcentral is "bacterial SSU rRNA". It matches the Rfam family "Bacterial small subunit ribosomal RNA", at positions 8 to 849 of the family's 1533-position model. The record is from RNAcentral.
AGAGUUUGAUCAUGGCUCAGGAUGAACGCUAGCGGCAGGCUUAACACAUGCAAGUCGAGGGGCAGCAUACCCAGCAAUGGGUGAUGGCGACCGGCGGAAGGGUGCGUAACGCGUGAGCAACAUACCCUAUACAGGGGGAUAAGCCAGGGAAACUUGGUCUAAUAUCCCAUAGGAAAUAGAUAAGGCAUCUUGUUUAUUUUAAAGCUUCGGUGGUAUAGGAUUGGCUCGCGUGACAUUAGCUAGAUGGAGGGGUAACGGCCCACCAUGGCAAUGAUGUCUAGGGGUUCUGAGAGGAAGAUCCCCCACACUGGGACUGAGACACGGCCCAGACUCCUACGGGAGGCAGCAGUGAGGAAUAUUGGACAAUGGAUGGAAAUCUGAUCCAGCCAUGCCGCGUGCAGGAAGACGGCCCUAUGGGUUGUAAACUGCUUUUAUACGGGAGCAAUAAGGUCUAUGCAUAGAUUGAUGAGAGUACCGUAUGAAUAAGCAUCGGCUAACUCCGUGCCAGCAGCCGCGGUAAUACGGAGGAUGCGAGCGUUAUCCGGAUUUAUUGGGUUUAAAGGGUGCGUAGGCGGCUUUGUAAGUCAGCGGUGAAAUUUUGCAGCUUAACUGUAAAAGUGCCGUUGAUACUGUGAAGCUAGGAUUUGGUUGCUGUGGGCGGAAUGUGUGGUGUAGCGGUGAAAUGCAUAGAGAUCACACAGAAUAUCGAUUGCGAAGGCAGCUCACAAAGCCAAUAUUGACGCUGAGGCACGAAAGUGUGGGGAUCAAACAGGAUUAGAUACCCUGGUAGUCCACACUGUAAACGAUGAUAACUCGCUGUCGGCGAUAGACCGUCGGUGGCCA